Molecule: ribosomal RNA, 1389 nt
Filed under: Staphylococcus sp. icri14
Lineage: Bacteria; Bacillati; Bacillota; Bacilli; Caryophanales; Staphylococcaceae
Description: bacterial SSU rRNA
Rfam family: Bacterial small subunit ribosomal RNA
Source: RNAcentral
UACUACGCCGGGAGAGGAGCAUCUUGUACGAGAUAACUUCGAUUUGCUAGAACACAUAGCGUGGACAUACACUUAUAUGUGUUUCUCGUCAGAUGACGCUGCGGCGUGCCUAUCCAUGCAGUCGAGCGACAGAUGAGAGCUGCUCUCUGAUGUAGCGCGACGGUGAGUUACACGUGGGUAACCUACCUAUAGACUGGAUACUCCGGGAAACCGGGGCUAAUACCGGAUAUAUUUGAACCGCAUGGUUCAAUAGUGAAAGACGGUUCGGCUGUCACUUAUAGAUGGACCCGCGCCGUAUUAGCUAGUUGGUAAGGUAACGGCUUACCAAGGCGACGAUACGUAGCCGACCUGAGAGGGUGAUCGGCCACACUGGAACUGAGACACGGUCCAGACUCCUACGGGAGGCAGCAGUAGGGAAUCUUCCGCAAUGGGCGAAAGCCUGACGGAGCAACGCCGCGUGAGUGAUGAAGGUCUUCGGAUCGUAAAACUCUGUUGUUAGGGAAGAACAAAUUUGUUAGUAACUGAACAAGUCUUGACGGUACCUAACCAGAAAGCCACGGCUAACUACGUGCCAGCAGCCGCGGUAAUACGUAGGUGGCAAGCGUUAUCCGGAAUUAUUGGGCGUAAAGCGCGCGUAGGCGGUUUCUUAAGUCUGAUGUGAAAGCCCACGGCUCAACCGUGGAGGGUCAUUGGAAACUGGGAAACUUGAGUGCAGAAGAGGAGAGUGGAAUUCCAUGUGUAGCGGUGAAAUGCGCAGAGAUAUGGAGGAACACCAGUGGCGAAGGCGGCUCUCUGGUCUGUAACUGACGCUGAUGUGCGAAAGCGUGGGGAUCAAACAGGAUUAGAUACCCUGGUAGUCCACGCCGUAAACGAUGAGUGCUAAGUGUUAGGGGGUUUCCGCCCCCUUAGUGCUGCAGCUAACGCAUUAAGCACUCCGCCUGGRGACGUACGACCGCAAGGUUGAAACUCAAAGGAAUUGACGGGGACCCGCACAAGCGGUGGAGCAUGUGGUUUAAUUCGAAGCAACGCGAAGAACCUUACCAAAUCUUGACAUCCUUUGACCGCUCUAGAGAUAGAGUCUUCCCCUUCGGGGGACAAAGUGACAGGUGGUGCAUGGUUUGUCGUCAGCUCGUGUCGUGAGAUGUUGGGUUAAGUCCCGCAACGAGCGCAACCCUUUAAGCUUAGUUGCCAUCAUUAAGUUGGGCACUCUAGUUGACUGCCGUGACAAACCGGAGAUGUGGGGAUGACGUCAAAUCAUCAUGCCCCUUAUGAUUGGGCUACACACGUGCUACAUGAUAAUACAAACGCAAGCGAUCGCGAGGCAGCAAUCGAUAACUAUCUCAGUUCGAAUUGAAGUCUGGCACUCGACUUACAUGGAGCCUGAUUGCU